This 1031-nucleotide long non-coding RNA is filed under the name Chrysolophus pictus (golden pheasant). Its description in RNAcentral is "lncRNA (ENSCPIG00010010913.1)". Lineage: Eukaryota; Metazoa; Chordata; Aves; Galliformes; Phasianidae. The record is from RNAcentral.
AGACCAUUUUGAGUUCCACUAAUCUCCAUGGGAUGAAACUGAAUUGCAACUGAAUUGCCAGGCAUCCUUUUUUCUUUUCUUUUCUUUUCUUUUCUUUUCUUUUCUUUUCUUUUCUUUUCUUUUCUUUUCUUUUCUUUUCUUUUCUUUUCUUUUCUUUUCUUUUCUUUUCUUUUCUUUUCUCUUUCCUUUCCUUUCCUUUCCUUUCCUUUCCUUUCCUUUCCUUUCCUUUCCUUUCCUUUCCUUUCCUUUCCUUUCCUUUCCUUUCCUUUCCUUUCCUUUCCUCUUUCCUUUCCUCCUUUCCUUUCCCUUUCCUUUCCCUUUCCUUUCCUUUCCUUUCCUUUCCUUCCCCUUCCCCUUCCCCUUCCCCUUCCCCUUUUCCCUUCCCCUUUUCCCUUCCCCUUUUCCCUUCCCCUUUUCCCUUCCCCUUUUCCCUUCCCUUCCCUUCCCUUACCCUUUCCUUUCCUUUCCUUUCCUUUCCUUUCCUUUCCUUUCCUUUCCUUUCCUUUCCUUUCCUUUCCUUUCCUUUCCUUUCCUUUCCUUUCCUUUCCUUUCCUUUCCUUUCCUUUCCUUUCCUUUCCUUUCCUUUCCUUUCCUUUCCUUUCCUUUCCUUUCCUUUCCUUUCCUUUCCUUUCCUUUCCUUUCCUUUCCUUUCCUUUCCUUUCCUUUCCUUUCCUUUCCUUUCCUUUCCUUUCCUUUCCUUUCCUUUCCUUUCCUUUCCUUUCCUUUCCUUUCCUUUCCUUUCCUUUCCUUUCCUUUCCUUUCCUUUCCUUUCCUUUCCUUUCCUUUCCUUUCCUUUCCUUUCCUUUCUCCUUUCCUUUCCUUUUUUUUUUUUAAGUUACUUAUAGAUGUCAAACUGUUAGAAAAUUAGAGUAUUUAUUUAUUUUUAACAUAUUUACAGACCAUCAAGAUCUCUUCUGAUAUCAAGUUUGUAAUUUGGUCUAAAAAUGGCAUUUCCAGUAACAGGUAAAUUUGAUUGCCUAAGGUUUGAAGUAUUUGAACUACGGUUUCCCCCUCACUGUUUGAAGCAUUAC